Molecule: ribosomal RNA, 494 nt
Filed under: uncultured Actinomycetes bacterium
Lineage: Bacteria; Bacillati; Actinomycetota; Actinomycetes
Description: bacterial SSU rRNA
Rfam family: Bacterial small subunit ribosomal RNA
Source: RNAcentral
UGGGGAAUAUUGCACAAUGGGCGAAAGCCUGAUGCAGCGACGCCGCGUGAGGGAUGACGGCCUUCGGGUUGUAAACCUCUUUCAGUAGGGAAGAAGCGAAAGUGACGGUACCUGCAGAAGAAGCGCCGGCUAACUACGUGCCAGCAGCCGCGGUAAUACGUAGGGCGCAAGCGUUAUCCGGAAUUAUUGGGCGUAAAGAGCUCGUAGGCGGUUUGUCGCGUCUGCCGUGAAAGUCCGGGGCUCAACUCCGGAUCUGCGGUGGGUACGGGCAGACUAGAGUGAUGUAGGGGAGACUGGAAUUCCUGGUGUAGCGGUGAAAUGCGCAGAUAUCAGGAGGAACACCGAUGGCGAAGGCAGGUCUCUGGGCAUUAACUGACGCUGAGGAGCGAAAGCAUGGGGAGCGAACAGGAUUAGAUACCCUGGUAGUCCAUGCCGUAAACGUUGGGCACUAGGUGUGGGGGACAUUCCACGUUUUCCGCGCCGUAGCUAACGCU